GCCUGAGUGGCUCAGUCAGUAGAGCUUCCGACUCUUGAUCCCAGAGUUGUGAGUUCAAGCCUCACAUUGGGAA
RNAcentral lists this transfer RNA (73 nucleotides) under Felis catus (domestic cat). It matches the Rfam family "tRNA". Rfam says of the family: Transfer RNA (tRNA) molecules are approximately 80 nucleotides in length. Their secondary structure includes four short double-helical elements and three loops (D, anti-codon, and T loops). Lineage: Eukaryota; Metazoa; Chordata; Mammalia; Carnivora; Felidae. The record is from Rfam by way of RNAcentral.